UACGUAGGGGGCAAGCGUUGUCCGGAAUCAUUGGGCGUAAAGAGCGUGUAGGCGGCCAGAAAAGUCCGCUGUGAAAACUCGAGGCUCAACUUCGAGCUGUCGGUGGAAACUUUCUGGCUAGAGUCCGGAAGAGGAGAAUGGAAUUCCUGGUGUAGCGGUGAAAUGCGCAGAUAUCAGGAAGAACACCCGUGGCGAAGGCGGCUCUCUGGCCCGGUACUGACGCUGAUGUGCGAAAGCGUGGGGAGCAAACAGG
This 253-nucleotide ribosomal RNA is filed under the name uncultured bacterium. RNAcentral describes it as "partial 16S ribosomal RNA". It matches the Rfam family "Bacterial small subunit ribosomal RNA", at positions 524 to 776 of the family's 1533-position model. The record is from RNAcentral.